This is a non-coding RNA of Pelobates cultripes (western spadefoot toad), 94 nucleotides long. NCBI's taxonomy places the organism in Eukaryota, Metazoa, Chordata, Amphibia, Anura, Pelobatidae. The record is from the annotation of a GenBank genome assembly.
CUGUGUGUAUUUAACAGUCUGUCUGUGUGUAUUUAGCAGUCUGUCUGUAUUUAGCAGACUGCUGAAUACACACACACAGACUGCUGAGUACACA